This 8657-nucleotide long non-coding RNA is filed under the name Ananas comosus (pineapple). RNAcentral describes it as "long non-coding RNA (ACOM_LNC024100)". Lineage: Eukaryota; Viridiplantae; Streptophyta; Magnoliopsida; Poales; Bromeliaceae. The record is from RNAcentral.
UCCCUAGCUGUAAGAGACCGGUUCCUGAACGCGUGUUUUGCGAGAAGGGUCCGAGAGACCGGUCCCUGGUAGGGAGAGACCGGUUCCCGAACGUUGGUUCUGCGGGGCAGGCUGAGAGACCGGUCCCAGGUGUCGGGGAGACCGGUCCCUCAGCACGAAAACUGCCCAGACCGGGCAGUGCACAGGGUGACUUUUUGAGGGGCUUAUAUGGAUUUUGUUACUUUUAAGGGCCUUAAGGCCAUUUCCUCUCCCUCUCACCCUCAUUUCACUCCCUCACACUCACUCUAGAGAGAGAAAGAGAAGGAGAAGGAGAAGAAGGAGAGGAGAGGAGCUUACUUGGAGGUCUUGGAGCAUUAUCUUCUUCCUCAUUUCUCACCUUUGGUGGUUUGGAGCUUGCGGUUGGAGCCUUGUGGAGGAUCAAACUCUAACCCUACUUGAUUUAGAGCUUCGAUUGGAGCUUCUCUUGAGGUUGGUAACUUGUAUUUCCCAUUUAAUACAAGUUUUUCUAGAUUUUACUAGAUGAAACCCUAGAUUUUGGGAUUUAGGGUUUAUUUUGGGGAUUUUUGAUUUGAGGACUUUGAGACCUAAUUAAUAGGUUUAGAACCUUUAUUUAGGUUGGAUUUGAAGAACUCUAACUCCCAUUUGGAGCUUGAGAGAGGAUUUCUUCACCUAGGUGAGUUUUUCUCCACCUUAGCCUAUGUUGCUUAUUGAUUGAGCUUAGGGUUGAUCGUAAGGGCUAUUGGACACCUUCGUCGGACCUUACGAAGGGUUUCGUUAACCUUUGGUGGGUUUGGCUUCAUUGAAAUGGGAGGAAAUGCCUCCUAUGUGGUUAAAUGUUUUCGUAUACUCUAAAUACAUGCAUAUUCAUGUUCGAUGAAAUUUAUACGAAAUUUAGAAUGCUUAAAACCCCUAUGUUAUGCAUCAUGAAAAAUUGACUCUAUGUUGUAGAGAGAAGAAUAUGUAUUGUUAGUAUGCAUGAGUUUAAUGUUCUAAUGAAUAAUGUAAGAUCAUGUUUCUUGUGCGGAAAAUGAUUAGAAUGACAAGCUUUUAGACUUAUUAUUCACAUUGGGACAUAGUAAGCAAAAGUGUCAUAAAGGGGCACACGAACUAGAAAAUUAUUGAACUGCAACUUAGAGACAUGAUGAUAGGCCACUGAAAAUCUACUAUAUUCCAUGUUUUAGACAUGAUGACAUAGAGAUAGGCCAUUGAGACAGUUACUAUAUUCCGUGUUUUAGACACGAUGACAUAGAGGCAGGCCUUUGGGACAUGUGUUGUAUUUCGGAUUUUAGAUCCGAUGAAACAGUGAUGAACCACUGGGACCUGAGAUGGACUUAUUCGCUUUCAUGCCAUUGUGCUCAUUCUCACAUACUUGUGAGGGUCACUCCCUACAAGUCGGCACUCCGGAGUUAGCGAUCGCGACAUAUGCUCGCUCGUGCGGGAUUAGGCGCCGAAAUGGGAUGCCGUGGGGGAGGCUCAUUCCUAGAGUGGGGAUGUUGACUACCACGGGACCAUUAGGCACGGCGCAAGCCGGACUACCCAGGGGUGGGUCCUACAGGAUUGGAUCAUUGAUGACUUGGCAUACCGAUUGGACAUUGACUAGAAUAGUAAACAAGAGAUUUUACUAUUUAGCUUGUGGACAUCAUGCUAGUGACAUUUUGGUGCAUUCAUGUUAGAAUAGCCCUUUUAUUACUUAUGCAAUUCAUGCUAAGUAGAGAUAUCAUGUUGUAGUAAGUUAUAUGUUUACUCACAUAUCGAUUCUAUUGCUUUUAUUGUUACUUACCUGUUUAGCUCUUUUGGGCCAAGUGGUGCUUUCACUGAAGUCAGUAAUUGCCCGCUGGGAACUAUUAUUUAAUAGUUCUCACGCUCCCUAUUUUAUGGUUCUUUUUCAGAGCCCUCUGCACCGGCGGAGGUACGGGAUCGCGGCAAGGGGAUCGCUAGCUAGAUAGCGAGGAUUUACCGUUGCUUAGGUGGUUUUCUCUCUUUUUGUUAUAGUUGAGAGAGAGUGGGGUUUUGUAUCCAUGUAUAGAGACUACCUAUGUAUUUACUUGUAGCUCUUGUUUCGAGAUUCUUUUUGUACUACUUUAUGUUUUCAUCUAGUGGAUUUUAGUUUUGUGGUUCUUAUCCUCUGUUGUAGCAUCUAGAUAUACUUGCUCUGAUACUCCUAGAUGUUUUCUUUUUACUGCUUCCUUUAUCGUUUUGUUUUAGACGCCUUAUUGUUUUAGACAUAUGGUGGGUUUGGACACGCGCCGGGCGGGCUUCCGCUGGGUCCCGGGGCGUGAUAGAUUAGUUUGGUAUCAGAGCCUAGGGCUGAGUUUUAGUGGACCUAGCAAACCUUAUGCCGGUUGGACUAUAGGAAAUAGGCUCGUGAGAGACGAGAUCUUUUUGACUUGUAAGCGAAAGUAUUUUGAUUGGGUAUCUUGGUAACUCUAGAAAGUGGAGUUAAAUCGAAGUGUAUAGCUCCUAACUUCGCGGAGGGUUACGUUGGCGGCCGACAACGUAACAUCGGGAGUUUGUAGUGAAGCACACUUCAUUACUUUCGCAGGAUUUGGGGCAUUACCUUCUUGAGUGGGGAUUUAAUGGCGUGAGUUUACUAACUUACGAUUCUAUGAUGUUGUAGUGAGAUGCGAGACCUUUGCAAAUUGUGAGGUUCAAGUGUUUGAUAUGGAUCCCGAACUUUUCCACACUUGGUGGAAGGUCGUUGAUGGUAUUCCGACCUAAAAGUUCGAUUCCUGGAGUUUUGACAUUGUCCUGAGAGUUUUCACUCUCGGGGACCGAUUCCUGAUGGGAAAGACCGGUCCCCUCAGCACAGUGUCGCGGCCAGCUUGAGGAGGUCGAGACCUCUGCUACAUCCGGAUCUGGCGAGGUCCAGGAGUUGAGGAGCCAGCUUGCGGCCCUCACCGACUUAGUGACUCAGCAGGCGGAGGCGGCACGACAGCAGACUGAGGCGACGCGCUGGCAGGAGGCGCGGAUUAAACGCCUGGAGGACCUUCUUCUGCAGCAGGCGACAGUUUCCAGAGAGACGCAGGACCCUACACCGCCCGCACCAGUUGUGGACGUCGCGCCUACAGCGCUGUCCCCUGCGCCCAGUUCGUCGCGUGCGGCGCCCUUGGCCGUGCCUCAGGAGGAGGCUAUUGUGGCACCACCUGUGCAGAGACCCCCGGUUGGAGCAACUUUCCCUACCUUGGUCGAGGGAGCGGAGCGGGACAGACUGAUGGAGCGCCUCAACGAGUUCAGGAGGUGCAGUCCCCAGAUCUUCGACGGCGAGAAGGUCGACCAUUGGAUCAUGGAGAAGUGGUUGAUGCAUAUGGAGAAACUCUUCCACGACACCUUCGUGGAGGAGAGAGAUCGAGUUUGGCUCGCCACUCACUAUUUGGACGGCGAGGCCUAUCGCUGGUGGUUGGAUCUUCAGGAAAACCUCAGCACCGACUUGGCAGCUAUUACUUGGAAGAAGUUCAAGGAGCUUCUGUUCGCGCACUACUUCUCAACCAGCGUUAAGAGGAAGAUGGAGCAGGAUCUGCGCAACUUGCGCCAAGGUGAUCGGACAGUAGUCGAGUACGAGCGAGAGUUUUCUCGGCUUCUACACUGCGUGCCUUUCGUCAUGCGGGACGAUGAGGACAAGGCCCGCAUCUUCGAGCGAGGGUUGCGACCGUCGAUCUUCCGGUUUGUGCAAUCCUCUAACCUCCAAACCUACCGGGAGGUGGUGGAUCGCGUGCUCAUCGUGGAGAACGGCGCGGCAGACGUCCAGGAGCGGCGAGAGGUGAUUAACAAGGGUAAGGCCAAGAGGCCCGCGGCUGAGGGUGCGGGCGAGACGCACUCUAGGAGGCCGCCGAAAUACCCUAGGAGCCAACAGCGUGGGCGCGGCCCGGCAGCGUAGCGUGGAGGUUCUAAUCGACGCCGACCUCCCCAGUGCGUGAUCUGCGGUGGUCCUCACACUCCACCGCAGUGUCCACAGCGGGGAGGCAGGUCCUACUUGUGUAGCCAGGAGGGCCACUUCCGGACUGAGUGCCCGAGGAGAUCGUCAUCGGCACCAUCGACUGCAUCGGCACUUGCUCUACCAGCCGCUAGCCACGGGACUCCGUCGACACAGUACCAGCCUGGGCGGCCACCCGUCCAGCGCUAGAGUGAGGGUUCUCGACAGGCUCCGAGUGGGCGUAUGUAUACCGCUCAGACCGAGGAGGCGGCAACAGCCGAGGAUGUGGUUGCAGGUAUCAUUUUACUUGAUGGCAUUAGAGUUCGUGCUUUAUUUGAUACCGGUGCAUCGCAUUCAUUUAUAGAUCGGCUAUUUGCCGAGUUGCAUGGCAUCUCUUGGGUUUCUUUGUUGCAUCCGGGACAUGUUGUAGUACCCGACCACACUCUGGAUAUUAGAGAGUAUUGCCCUAGCUGCCCUGUUCGGGUAGGGGAUUGGAUCAUGCCCGUGGAUUUGCUAGCUCUGCGCAAGCUCGAGGAUUUUGAUGUGGUCUUGGGUAUGGAUUGGCUAACCAAGUAUUAUGCCACGAUUGAUUGUAAGAAUCGCACGGUUACUUUUAGAGAACCGGGGCAGACUGAGGUAGUGUUUAGAGGAUGUCGGAGUUUGCUUUUUGCGAUGUCGAUCAGCUCGUCUCGAGCACGGCAGCUGAUCAGCCGAGGAUGUGUAGCCUACUUGGCUAGUGUUGCGUUGAGGGGCGAGGAUGACACCCCUAGGAUUGAGGAUGUCCCGGUGGUACGGGAGUUUCGGGACGUGUUUCCAGCUGAGCUACCGAGUAUGCCACCCGAUAGGGAGAUCGAGUUUGUGGUUGAUCUCACCCCUGGGACUACUCCAAUCUCGAAAGUGCCCUAUAGGAUGGCACCGGCGUAGCUAAAGGAGCUUAGGGCACAGCUACAGGAUCUGUUGGAUAAGGGCUUCAUUCGACCGAGCGUCUCGCCGUGGGGAGUGCUAGUUCUGUUCGUCAAGAAAAAGGACGGAUCAUUUCGCCUUUGUGUGGACUAUUGUGAACUCAAUAAAGUCACGAUCAAGAAUAAGUAUCUGUCGCCGAGGAUCGAUGAUUUGUUUUAUCAGCUUCAAGGAUCGUAUGUGUAUUCCAAGAUAGACUUGCAGUCGGGAUACCACCAGUUAAAGAUCAAACCCGAGAAUGUAUCGAAAACAGCUUUUAGAACACGGUAUGGACAUUAUGAGUUCAUAGUUAUGCCGUUUGGGCUUACUAAUGCCCCGGCAGCUUUUAUGGAUCUUAUGAACCGUAUUUUCAAGCCUUACUUGGACAGAUUUGUCGUGGUGUUUAUCGACGAUAUUUUUGCUUAUUCCCGAAGUGACGCGGAUCACGAGGAGCAUUUGAGGCUUGUACUUCAAAUACUUUGGAAAAAGGAGCUUCAUGCCAAGUUGAGAAAGUGUGAAUUUUCGCUUCGAGAGGUAGCCUUCCUUGGACAUUUCAUAUCGGGAUCGGGUAUAGCCAUGGAUCCUAAGAAGAUUGAAGUAAUCAAGGAUUGGCCGAGACCGACGAGCGUCACGGAGAUACGGAGCUUCCUUGGAUUUGCCGGUUACUACCGGAGGUUUGUUGAGGGAUUUGCUAAGCUAUUUACUCCCCUCACGAGGCUCACGCAUAAAGGUGUCAAGUUCAUCUGGAAUGAUGCGUGUGAGAGAAGCCCAAGAGCUGAAGCAACGAUUGACGACCGCCCCUAUCCUAACCUUGCCAGUUGCUGGAGCAGGGUAUGUGGUUUAUAGUGAUGCUUCACUUAAUGGAUUGGGUUGUGUGUUGAUGCAGGAUGGCAAAGUGAUCGCGUAUGCUUCGCGCCAACUGAAGGAAUAUGAAAAGAAUUACCCUACGUAUGAUUUGGAGUUGGCGGCCGUAGUCUUCGCAUUGAAGUUAUGGCGCCACUACUUAUAUGGCGAGCGGUGUGAAGUAUACACGGAUCACAAGAGCUUAAAGUAUUUGUUUACUCGGAAGGAGUUGAACUUGAGACAGCGCAGAUAGUUGGAGCUGCUCAAGAAUUAUGAUUUGACUAUCCUUUACCAUCCGGGCAAGGUUAACGUGGUGGCGAAUGCGCUAAGUAGGAAAUCAACAGAAAACUUAGCAAUGCAUGUUGUUACUCAACCGCAAUUGAUCGAGCAGAUGAAGCGGCUGGAGUUGGAGGUAGUGACUCCUGACACGCCUGUGAGGUUAAUGACUUUGGUGAUGCAACCUACACUCUUGGAUAGAAUUAAAGAGAAGCAAGCUUCCGAUGUGGAGUUGCAAAAGAUUAAAGGUAAAAUGGUUGAUGGUUGCAUCGGCGAUUUCAUUGUGGAUGACCAAGGAUUAAUGCGUUUCCGUGGACGGAUUUGUGUAUCGGCAGAUCCGGGAAUUAAGGAGGAUAUUCUUCAAGAAGCGCACCGAGCGCCCUAUUCUAUACAUCCGGGAGCCACCAAGAUGUAUAAAGACUUAAAGUUGCUCUAUUGGUGACCUGGGAUGAAAAAGGACGUUGGCGAGUUUGUAGCUCGAUGUCUGACUUGCCAACAAGUGAAAGCUGAGCACCGAUUACCCGCGAAAAAGCUUCAGAGUUUGCCUAUCCCCGUGUGGAAGUGGGAGAAGAUCACCAUGGACUUCGUGACUGGAUUGCCCCGCUCCCAGGCCGGGCAUGAUGCUAUAUGGGUGAUCGUGGAUAGGUUGACGAAGUCGGCGCACUUCAUACCUAUUCAUACUACUUGGAUCGGAGAAAAGCUCACAUAAGUGUACCUUGACGAGAUUGUGCGACUCCAUGGAGUGCCUACAUCGAUCGUAUCGGAUCGAGACAGUCGGUUUGUGUCUCACUUUUGGAGGAGUCUACAGGACGCCCUAGGCGCUCGACUGGACUUUAGUACUGCUUUCCACCCCAGAGUGAUGGGCAGUUGGAGCACACCAUUCAGACUUUAGAGGAUAUGCUCCGAGCAUGUGUGAUAGACUUCCAGGGAGGAUGGUCGCAGCAUCUACCGAUGGCGGAGUUUGCUUAUAACAACAGUUAUCAAGCAAGCAUCAAGAUGACGCCCUUCGAAGCACUCUAUGGACGGAAGUGUAGAUCGCCACUUCAUUGGAGUGAAGUUGGCGAGAGAUUGGCGUUAGGCCCUGAUGUGCUCCAGGAAGCUGAGGACAAAGUUCGAAUUGCUCGGGAGCGACUUUUGAUGGCACAGAGUAGACAGAGGAGCUACGCUGACCGACGACGGCGAGACUUGGAGUUCCAAGUUGGAGACCAUGUUUUCUUGAAGGUCUCGCCGACUAGAGGGAUCAAGAGAUUCGGGAUUCGGGGUAAGUUGAGCCCCCGUUUCAUUGGACCGUAUGAGAUUUUGGAACGUGUAGGUCCGGUAGCGCAUCGACUUGCUCUACCACCGAACUUAUCGGGCGUGCACAACGUUUUUCAUGUAUCGGUCCUUCGGAAGUAUGUUUUCGACCCAACUCAUGUGCUGGAUGCCACACCUGUGGAGUUGCGGGACGACUUGAGCUUCGAGUAGCAACCAGUGAGGAUCUUGGCUCGUGAGGUGCGGAAACUGCGGAAUCGGGAUAUUUCGUAUGUGAAAGUUCUUUGGAGCAACCACGGGGAGCGGGAGGCCACGUGGGAGCUAGAGAGCGUGCUGCGGGAGCGCUAUCCCCAUCUUUUUCAUAUGGAGCUUUGAGGUAUGUGCUGUUGCUUUGAGUUUUGCGGACGAAACUCCUUUUUAGAAGGGGUGAAUGUAGCACAAUGGACCUUUGCAAAUUGCGAGGUUCGAGUAUUUGAUAUGGAUCCCGAACUUUUCCACAUUUGGUGGAAGGUCGUUGAUGGUAUUCUGACCUAAAAGUUCGAUUCCUGGAGUUUUGACAUUGUCCUGAGAGUUUUCACUCUCGGAGACCGGUCCCUGAUGGGAGAGACCGGUCCCCUCAGUACAGUGUCGCGGCCUGCUUGAGGCAACUGGUCCUUGGUUGUGAGAGACCGGUUCCCGAACGCGUGUUUUGCGAGAAGGGUCCGAGAGACCGGUCCCUGGCAGGGAGAGAUCGGUUCCCGAACGUUGGUUCUGCGGGGGAGGCUGAGAGACCGGUCCCAGGUGUCGGGGAGACCGGUCCCUCAGCACGAAAACUGCCCAGACCGGGCAGUGAACAAGGUGACUUUUUGAGGGGCUUAUAUGGAUUUUGUUACUUCUAAGGGCCUUAAGGCCAUUUUCUCUCCUUCUCACCCUCAUUUCACUCCCUCACACUCACUCACAAGUGGGCACUCCGGAGUUAGCCAUCGCGACAUAUGCUCGCUCGUGCGGGAUUGGGCGCCGAAAUGGGAUGCCGUGGGGGAGGCUCAUUCCUAGAGUGGGGAUGUUGACUACCACGGGGCCAUUAGGCACGGCGCAGGCCGGACUACCCACGGGUGGGUCCUACAGGAUUGGAUCAUUGAUGACUUGGCAUACCGAUUGGACAUUGACUAGAAUAGUAAACAAGAGAUUUUACUAUUUAGCUUGUGGACAUCAUGCUAAUGACAUUUUGGUGUAUUCAUGUUAGAAUAGCCCUUUUAUUACUUAUGCAAUUCAUGCUAAGUAGAGAUAUCAUAUUGUAGUAAGUUAUAUGUUUACUCACAUAUCGAUUCUAUUGCUUUUAUUGUUACUUACCUGUUUAGCUCUUUUGGGCAUAGUGGUGCUUUCACUGAAGUCAGUAAUUGUCCACUAGGAACUAUUAUUUAAUAGUUCUCACGCCCCCUGUUUUAUGUUUCUUUUUCAG